UCCAGACUCCUACGGGAGGCAGCAGUGGGGAAUAUUGCACAAUGGGGGAAACCCUGAUGCAGCGACGCCGCGUGAAGGAAGAAGUAUUUCGGUAUGUAAACUUCUAUCAGCAGGGAAGAAAAUGACGGUACCUGACUAGGAAGCCCCGGCUAACUACGUGCCAGCAGCCGCGGUAAUACGUAGGGGGCAAGCGUUAUCCGGAUUUACUGGGUGUAAAGGGAGCGUAGGCGGUGCAGCAAGUCAGAAGUGAAAGCCCGGGGCUCAACUCCGGGACUGCUUUUGAAACUGUUGAACUAGGUUGCAGGAGAGGUAAGUGGAAUUCCUAGUGUAGCGGUGAAAUGCGUAGAUAUUAGGAGGAACACCAGUGGCGAAGGCGGCUUACUGGACUGUAACUGACGCUGAGGCACGAAAGUGUGGGGAGCAAACAGGAUUAGAUACCCCCGUA
RNAcentral lists this ribosomal RNA (445 nucleotides) under uncultured bacterium. RNAcentral describes it as "partial 16S ribosomal RNA". It matches the Rfam family "Bacterial small subunit ribosomal RNA", at positions 330 to 792 of the family's 1533-position model. The record is from RNAcentral.